Molecule: long non-coding RNA, 752 nt
Filed under: Rattus norvegicus (Norway rat)
Lineage: Eukaryota; Metazoa; Chordata; Mammalia; Rodentia; Muridae
Description: long non-coding RNA NONRATT018874
Source: RNAcentral
CUCCAUCACCCUGAGGGACUCCUGCUCUUUAGCACACAGGGAAGGCCCAUUUAAUGUGCACUAGUCCCAGCACCUCCAUGAAGAAUUCUUUAUAACAGGGGAGCCAACCACCGCAGACCGAGGACCUGUGUUCAGCCAGGCCAUCUUUCCAGGAUAUGGAGAAACCCUGACUCCAAACAUCACCCCACCCAGGCUCCCGGGCAAGCUUCACUUUCUAGGAGGUCCUGUCUCCCCUCCUGAUCAAAUGGAGUCCUGUCAGGUCUGAGAAAGACACAGCUGCCUUGGGACAGGCCAACCCACACCAAUGCUUCCCCCGAACAGUGCUUGCCCAGACAGCUUUGGCAUUCUGGCAUAUACUUUGGGACUGGAAGUUGUUAUUGUUUCCCUGGCAACCACCAUAGAUGAAGAGUUGGCACGUGCCGUUUUUCUUAUUAUACCACCAACGAGGGAAGUAAGCCAUGCAGUAGCCAGAGUCUUUUGGUAGGCUGCAAAUAUCUGCGGAGGAACCCCAGAGUUGAGAGCUCAAGAGUGCACAACCCGAAACAAAAUAAUGAGAGCCACCUUCCCCUUCUCCUUCCCCUUGGAGCAAACUCUUUCUCCCCCUCCCGCUCCAGUGGUUCAACACCUGAAACAUUUCGUGUACUUGUGGAAGAUGCUACGGAGGAUAUCCGCGUCCCUGGAGGUAGGCAUCCUUGUGGAUGGUUAUGGUCUGAACAUGAAAUGUCCCCUCACAGGCUUACAUUCCGAAGACU